GUAUUGGCACCUUUUCUAUGUGUCUAUUUAAUCAACUCUACAAGUUUUGCCUAUCUAUCUAUCUAUCUAUCUA
Molecule: non-coding RNA, 73 nt
Organism: Pangasianodon gigas (Mekong giant catfish)
Lineage: Eukaryota; Metazoa; Chordata; Actinopteri; Siluriformes; Pangasiidae
Source: the annotation of a GenBank genome assembly